RNAcentral lists this ribosomal RNA (460 nucleotides) under uncultured bacterium. RNAcentral describes it as "partial 16S ribosomal RNA". It matches the Rfam family "Bacterial small subunit ribosomal RNA", at positions 338 to 795 of the family's 1533-position model. The record is from RNAcentral.
CCUACGGGAGGCAGCAGUGAGGAAUAUUGGUCAAUGGACGAAAGUCUGAACCAGCCAUGCCGCGUGCAGGAUGACGGCUCUAUGAGUUGUAAACUGCUUUUGUAUUAGGGCAAAAACCCCUACGUGUAGGGGCUUGAGAGUAUACUACGAAUAAGGAUCGGCUAACUCCGUGCCAGCAGCCGCGGUAAUACGGAGGAUGCAAGCGUUAUCCGGAUUUAUUGGGUUUAAAGGGUGCGGAGGCGGUGUGGUAAGUUAGAGGUGAAAUACCGGGGCUCAACACCGGAACUGCCUCUAAAACUGUUGAGCUAGAGAGUACGUGCGGUAGGCGGAAUGUAUGGUGUAGCGGUGAAAUGCUUAGAGAUCAUACAGAACACCGAUUGCGAAGGCAGCUUACCAAACCAUAACUGACGUUGAGGCACGAAAGCGUGGGUAGCAAACAGGAUUAGAUACCCGUGUAGUC